This 500-nucleotide ribosomal RNA is filed under the name uncultured bacterium. Its description in RNAcentral is "partial 16S ribosomal RNA". It matches the Rfam family "Bacterial small subunit ribosomal RNA", at positions 30 to 523 of the family's 1533-position model. The record is from RNAcentral.
AUUGAACGCUGGCGGAAUGCUUUACACAUGCAAGUCGAACGGCAGCACGGACUUCGGUCUGGUGGCGAGUGGCGAACGGGUGAGUAAUGUAUCGGAACGUGCCCAGUCGUGGGGGAUAACGUAGAGAAAAUUACGCUAAUACCGCAUACGAUCUAUGGAUGAAAGCGGGGGAUCGCAAGACCUCGCGGGAUUGGAGCGGCCGAUAUCAGAUUAGGUAGUUGGUGGGGUAAAGGCCCACCAAGCCAACGAUCUGUAGCAGGUCUGAGAGGACGAAGAGGCACACUGGAACGGAGGCACGGACCAGACUCCGACGGGAGGCAGCAGUGGGGAAUUUUGGACAAUGGGCGAAAGCCUGAUCCAGCCAUUCCGCGUGGAGGAUGAAGGCCCUCGGGUUGUAAACUGCUUUUGUACAGAACGAAAAGGUUUCUACUAAUACUAGGAGCUCAUGACGGUACCGUAAGAAUAAGCACCGGCUAACUACGUGCCAGCCGCCGCAGUAA